UGCCAGCCGCCGCGGUAAUACGGAGGGUCCGAGCGUUAUCCGGAAUCAUUGGGUUUAAAGGGUCCGUAGGCGGGAAUCUAAGUCAGUGGUGAAAUCUUGCAGCUCAACUGUAAAAUUGCCAUUGAUACUGGAUUUCUUGAAUUAGUGUGAAGUGGUUAGAAUGUGUAGUGUAGCGGUGAAAUGCAUAGAUAUUACACAGAACGCCGAUUGCGAAGGCAACUUACUAAGCCAUUACUGACGCUGAGGCACGAAAGCGUGGGGAGCGAACAGGAUUAGAUA
This 279-nucleotide ribosomal RNA is filed under the name uncultured bacterium. RNAcentral's name for it is "partial 16S ribosomal RNA". It matches the Rfam family "Bacterial small subunit ribosomal RNA", at positions 506 to 784 of the family's 1533-position model. The record is from RNAcentral.